UACGUAGGGUGCAAGCGUUAAUCGGAAUUACUGGGCGUAAAGCGUGCGCAGGCGGUUAUAUAAGACAGUUGUGAAAUCCCCGGGCUCAACCUGGGAACUGCAUCUGUGACUGUAUAGCUAGAGUACGGUAGAGGGGGAUGGAAUUCCGCGUGUAGCAGUGAAAUGCGUAGAUAUGCGGAGGAACACCGAUGGCGAAGGCAAUCCCCUGGGCCUGUACUGACGCUCAUGCACGAAAGCGUGGGGAGCAAACAGG
RNAcentral lists this ribosomal RNA (253 nucleotides) under uncultured bacterium. RNAcentral describes it as "partial 16S ribosomal RNA". It matches the Rfam family "Bacterial small subunit ribosomal RNA", at positions 524 to 776 of the family's 1533-position model. The record is from RNAcentral.